Molecule: ribosomal RNA, 283 nt
Filed under: uncultured prokaryote
Description: partial 16S ribosomal RNA
Rfam family: Bacterial small subunit ribosomal RNA
Source: RNAcentral
CCAACGGGAGGCAGCAGUGGGGAAUAUUGCACAAUGGGCGAAAGCCUGAUGCAGCAACGCCGCGUGAGGGAAGACGGUCUUCGGGUUGUAAACCUUUAACUUUGGAGAAGAAACAACUGACGGUAACCAAAGGAGCAGCCACGGCUAACUACGUGCCAGCAGCCGCGGUAAUACGUAGGUGGCAAGCGUUGUACGGAAUUACUGGGUGUAAAGGGAGCGCAGGCGGGGAGGCAAGUCAGCUGUGAAAGGGAUGGGCUUAACCCAUGAAGUGCAGUUGAAACUG